UUGCUCAUCAUUUGGGGAUCUUGUUAAAUGCAGUUUCUGAGUCAGUAGAUCUGAAGUGGGACUGAGAUUGUGCAUUUCCAACAAGCUCUCAGGCGACACUGGU
This 103-nucleotide microRNA precursor is filed under the name Marmota monax (woodchuck). Lineage: Eukaryota; Metazoa; Chordata; Mammalia; Rodentia; Sciuridae. The record is from RNAcentral.